Molecule: long non-coding RNA, 504 nt
Organism: Xenia sp. Carnegie-2017
Lineage: Eukaryota; Metazoa; Cnidaria; Anthozoa; Malacalcyonacea; Xeniidae
Exons: 2
Source: RefSeq, a predicted model, not a curated record
AUUUAUGAAUAGUUUCAUGGUUGUCUCAUCGUCAAGAUUCAGUUGGAUUGAUUCGUAAUUAUUCAUGUUCAGUAAGUUUAAGUUGUUUUAUCUUUACCCUGUGCAAGCAUUAUUGAAAAUUAACAGAAACAAAGACGGAUAGAAUCACAAUUAUUGACAAACUGACUUAUUAUCAAAGUCUCAAUCUCUUUGAGUUGCGGCAACGACGUUCUUCAUAACAAACAACUUGUACUUCGCCCCAACAUGCUUCUUGCCAUUACUUGCACAAGUUUCUCCACUUAGAAUAAGGUAAAUUAUUUACCCAACAUAGACUGUAAAUAAUGUCUAAGUUCACAUGCCAUCUUGAGAUGCUUUCCAUACAAAAUUUUGUUUUUACCAAAAUGUCAAAUUCAAUAAUUUUGUAUUAUUGGACACACAUUUGAACAAUUAAACAAUAUCAAAUCAAUGUGCUGUAUAAUAACUGUUUCCUAACAAUUCAGUAAUAAUAAAUACAUGGUACAGCAA